This 253-nucleotide ribosomal RNA is filed under the name uncultured bacterium. Its description in RNAcentral is "partial 16S ribosomal RNA". It matches the Rfam family "Bacterial small subunit ribosomal RNA", at positions 524 to 776 of the family's 1533-position model. The record is from RNAcentral.
UACGUAGGGGGCAAGCGUUAUCCGGAAUUAUUGGGCGUAAAGCGUCCGUAGAUGGUUUUGCCAGUCGGCUGUCAAAGCACAGGGCUUAACCCUGUAAAGGCAGUGGAAACUACAAGACUAGAGUGCAGUAGGGGCAGAGGGAAUUCCCAGUGUAGCGGUGAAACGCGUAGAGAUUGGGAAGAACAUCCGUGGCGAAAGCGCUCUGCUGGACUGCAACUGACAUUGAGGGACGAAAGCUAGGGGAGCGAAUGGG